GAUGAACGCUAGCGGCAGGCUUAAUACAUGCAAGUCGAGGGGCAGCACGGUUAGCAAUAACUGGUGGCGACCGGCGCACGGGUGCGUAACACGUAUACAAUCUACCUUAAACAGGGGAUAGCCUUUCGAAAGAGAGAUUAAUACCCCGUAAUAAAUUGAACGGCAUCGUUUGAUUUUGAAAGCUCCGGCGGUUUGAGAUGAGUAUGCGUCUGAUUAGCUAGUUGGUGAGGUAACGGCUCACCAAGGCGACGAUCAGUAGGGGAUCUGAGAGGACUAACCCCCACACUGGUACUGAGACACGGACCAGACUCCUACGGGAGGCAGCAGUAAGGAAUAUUGGACAAUGGGCGAAAGCCUGAUCCAGCCAUGCCGCGUGAAGGAUGAAGGCGCUCAGCGUUGUAAACUUCUUUUGGACGGGAACAAUAUCCCCGACUUGUCGGGGCUUGAGGGUACCGUCAGAAUAAGCACCGGCUAACUCCGUGCCAGCAGCCGCGGU
RNAcentral lists this ribosomal RNA (496 nucleotides) under uncultured bacterium. Its description in RNAcentral is "bacterial SSU rRNA". It matches the Rfam family "Bacterial small subunit ribosomal RNA", at positions 28 to 521 of the family's 1533-position model. The record is from RNAcentral.